CUUGUGCAUAGUCCAGCCCAAUUUCCACAGCUGAACCUGAUACCCUCCCCAUGCUUGAAAACUCCAAGCCGCCGGCGCCGGCCGCCUCUCUGGUCCCUCCUAGACACCUCCGUCCCGUCGUCCCAACCCCGCCUCUCACCAAACCAUUCCUCCUUGAUGUCCUCGUCUCAAUCUCUCAUCCUCCUCCUCACCUCCCCUCUCCCCCCGCCUCCUCGUGUCGUCGCCGCCAUCCCACCAUCCUCGCGCCCCACCACCGCUAGCCGCUUCCGCCACCUCCCGCGCCUCACCGCCAAUCUCUGCCUUCCGCCACUCGCGACCUCCGCUUCCGGCGGAUUCGGAGAUGGCAAUUUCCCCGGUGGGGAUGGGGGUGGCGGAGGAGGAGGAGGAGGGGGUUGGUGGCAAGGCGGGAGAGGAGACCCCCCCGACAAGCCCGGAGACGGGUGGCGACGGUGGCUUCAGUCCCUCCACCCCGAGCUCUUCCUCCUGUUCUUGCUCCUCCAGUCGGACGCCUUCGCUUCCAUCCCAUCCGCCCUCGCCGAUGCCCUGGGAGCAACCGGCGGCGACGGCGGUAGCGUUUGGGAGGUGAGGGGUAGUGCGCGUACGCUGCUCGUACCCAACCCGACCGGAACCUCAUACCUCGUUGCGGGAGACGAUAAGCGGAAGCAAGAAGAGGGUAUGGAAAAGACGGGGGCUGGCCCUGCUAAUUUGGCCGCACUGCGGAGGCAACUCGAACGGUCAUGGCGGCGGUGCACUGAUGUUGCUCUUCAGUUGCUGCUGCCUGAUGGAUACCCGCACAGCGUGAGCAGCGACUAUCUGCACUACUCGCUGUGGCGGGGCGUGCAAGGUGUUGCUAGCCAGAUCAGCGGCGUGCUCUCUACGCAGGCGUUGCUGUACGCAGUUGGUUUGGGUAAAGGAGCGAUCCCGACGGCCGCCGCAGUGAAUUGGGUGCUGAAAGAUGGGCUUGGUUACUUGAGCAAGAUACUCUUGUCGAAAUUUGGGCGACAUUUUGAUGUGAACCCGAAGGGAUGGCGGCUGUUUGCAGAUCUUCUGGAGAACACAGCUUAUGGGCUGGAGAUUUUGACUCCGGUAUUUCCUCACCUGUUUGUUCCCAUUGGUGCAGCCGCUGGAGCUGGCCGAUCGGCAGCUGCUCUAAUACAGGCUGCCACAAGAAGUUGUUUCUUUGCUGGCUUUGCUGUCCAGAGAAACUUUGCUGAGGUCAUUGCAAAGGGUGAAGCGCAGGGAAUGGUUAGCAAGUUUGUUGGCAUAAUGCUUGGCAUAGCGUUAGCUAACCAAAUUGGCUCAUCAGUACCACUGGCUCUUAUUUCAUUUGCUGGUGUUACUGUAGUUCACAUGUAUUGCAACCUUAAGUCUUAUCAAUCAAUUCAGCUGAGGACGCUGAAUCCUUACUGUGCAAGUUUGGUAUUUAGUGAAUAUUUAUUAAGUGGACAAGUUCCUUCAGUCAAAGAGGUUAACGACAAGGAGCCACUUUUUCCGAAUUUAUCCAUGGGUGCUCAAGUUAAACAAAGUGAGAUUUUGUCAGCAGAAGCAAAAGAUGCUGCAGAUACAAUCUAUCGACGGUUACAAUUGGGUUCUAAGCUUAGUGAAAUAAUUGAGAACAAGGAAGAUGCAUAUGCACUGUUUGAUUUGUACAAAAAUGAGCAAUACCUUCUUACGGAUUACAAGGGGAAAUUUUGUGUUGUUCUUAAAGAGGGAUCUUCCCCAGAAGACAUGCUGAAAUCUCUAUUCCAUGUUAACUAUCUGUACUGGUUAGAGAAAUAUAUGGGUUUCAAACCAUUCAAUGUUGCCUCCGAGUGUAGACCAGGUGGAAGGCUUGAAGCAUCACUGGAUUAUGUUCAGAGGGAGUUUACACAUGUCAAGCAUGAUGGUUCAAAUGGUGGCUGGGUGAUGGAUGGUCUGAUUGCUAGACCCUUGCCUGUAAGAAUACGUGUUGGCGAUGUUCCUUGAUAGGAAUCCUCGACUCAUUUUGCCCACAGCUACGCUUAUUAGAAUUGUACAGCCUCUUAUUCUUUGAUAAAUUUAGGGACACAAGGUUAUCUCAAAGCCGAUUGGUUCUUCCAUUGUAUGGGGCAAGUUCAUGAACUAGCAGUCGUCAGUCUGAGUGGCCAAAAUAAGCUGCAAAGUUCAUUAUCUGGUUGUUAUCAUAAGGCUGUAGCUGGUAUAUCUUUGGUCUUAUUUCUUCCGAGAUUUUUGUUCUCCUUUUGUUAUUUGUUGACUUUUGAAGCUUGUAGUGGCUGGUCAGAAAAAUAAGAACACUUCUCUGGCAAUUAUAGAGAUUAAGACUGUUAAUAGAGGAUUGUGCUUGAGACAGAUCCUAGUGGUAGUUGGCUAGUUGUGAAUAAUAAAGCAUGCAUCACAUCCUUGUUGUUAUUUUCUCUUGGCAUUGGUUGUGUCACUCCUUGAUGCAAAGCUUACUCUGGGAUUUCAAAGUAUGCCGGAGGCUGCCUUAGUUUUUAUAUACAAAUACAGAAUCUGAGUCGAGAAUCUAUUCAAUUUUGCUCAGACCUGUUGUAUUCCCUUUUUCCGAAUAUAAUGUAUAUGCUGAAUAUUGCUUUUCUG
Molecule: ribosomal RNA, 2577 nt
Filed under: Triticum aestivum (bread wheat)
Lineage: Eukaryota; Viridiplantae; Streptophyta; Magnoliopsida; Poales; Poaceae
Description: partial small subunit ribosomal RNA
Source: RNAcentral